CUUACAGGAAAAGGUGCAAAAGUAUGAGGGUUCAUACCAGGGAUGGACUUCUGAGCCCACAAAGUUGAUUCCAUGGAGAAAUAGUCACUGGCGUGCUCAAAGUUUCAUUGGUCACCCACAAGCAAUAAAAAAUGAUUCUGGUCCAGGGCCAACAUUUCCUGGGAAAUUUGAUGAGAAUAACACUGCCAUCACCCCAACCAUGCUU
Molecule: unclassified non-coding RNA, 205 nt
Filed under: Hevea brasiliensis (rubber tree)
Lineage: Eukaryota; Viridiplantae; Streptophyta; Magnoliopsida; Malpighiales; Euphorbiaceae
Source: RNAcentral